GUGCUCACGUCGGCAGCACAUAAACUAAAAUUGGAACAACACAUAGAUUAGUGCGGCCCCUGCACAAUGAUGACACGAAAAUUCUUAAAGCCUUCCAUAUUUUU
Molecule: small nuclear RNA, 104 nt
Filed under: Saimiri boliviensis boliviensis (Bolivian squirrel monkey)
Lineage: Eukaryota; Metazoa; Chordata; Mammalia; Primates; Cebidae
Source: RNAcentral